GGGUCAGUAGGUUGGUCGUGCCACCGGUACGUACUGGUCUCACUGAUUCCUCCUUCCUGAAGAACCGUAAUGCCAUUAAUUUGGUGUUGCGGGGAAACAGGACUGUUACUUUGAAAAAAUUGGAGUGUUUAAAGCAAGCUAACGCUUGAAUACAUUAGCAUGGAAUAAUGAAAUAGGACGAUCGAUCCUAUUUUGUUGGUUCCUAGGAUUGACGUA
Molecule: ribosomal RNA, 216 nt
Filed under: Glomeromycotina sp.
Lineage: Eukaryota; Fungi; Glomeromycota
Description: partial small subunit ribosomal RNA
Rfam family: Eukaryotic small subunit ribosomal RNA (bases 40-216)
Source: RNAcentral